RNAcentral lists this ribosomal RNA (465 nucleotides) under Vreelandella stevensii. Its description in RNAcentral is "partial 16S ribosomal RNA". It matches the Rfam family "Bacterial small subunit ribosomal RNA", at positions 338 to 795 of the family's 1533-position model. The record is from RNAcentral. Lineage: Bacteria; Pseudomonadati; Pseudomonadota; Gammaproteobacteria; Oceanospirillales; Halomonadaceae.
CCUACGGGAGGCUGCAGUGGGGAAUAUUGGACAAUGGGGGCAACCCUGAUCCAGCCAUGCCGCGUGUGUGAAGAAGGCCCUCGGGUUGUAAAGCACUUUCAGUGAGGAAGAACGCCUGGUGGUUAAUACCCAUCAGGAAAGACAUCACUCACAGAAGAAGCACCGGCUAACUCCGUGCCAGCAGCCGCGGUAAUACGGAGGGUGCGAGCGUUAAUCGGAAUUACUGUGCGUAAAGCGCGCGUAGGUGGCUUGAUAAGCCGGUUGGGAAAGCCCCGGGCUCAACCUGGGAACGGCAUCCGGAACUGUCAAGCUAGAGUGCAGGAGAGGAAAGUAGAAGUCCCGGUGUAGCGGUGAAAUGCGUAGAGAUCGGGAGGAAUACCAGUGGCGAAGGCGGCCCUCUGGACUGACACUGACGCUGAGGUGCGAAAGCGUGGGUAGCAAACAGGAUUAGAUACCCGAGUAGUC